UACGUAGGGUCCGAGCGUUGUCCGGAAUUAUUGGGCGUAAAGAGCUCGUAGGCGGUUUGUCGCGUCUGCUGUGAAAUCCCGAGGCUCAACCUCGGGUCUGCAGUGGGUACGGGCAGACUGGAGUGCGGUAGGGGAGACUGGAAUUCCUGGUGUAGCGGUGAAAUGCGCAGAUAUCAGGAGGAACACCGAUGGCGAAGGCAGGGCUCUGGGCAUUAACUGACGCUGAGGAGCGAAAGCAUGGGGAGCGAACAGG
This 253-nucleotide ribosomal RNA is filed under the name uncultured bacterium. RNAcentral's name for it is "partial 16S ribosomal RNA". It matches the Rfam family "Bacterial small subunit ribosomal RNA", at positions 524 to 776 of the family's 1533-position model. The record is from RNAcentral.